This 494-nucleotide ribosomal RNA is filed under the name uncultured bacterium. RNAcentral's name for it is "partial 16S ribosomal RNA". It matches the Rfam family "Bacterial small subunit ribosomal RNA", at positions 28 to 507 of the family's 1533-position model. The record is from RNAcentral.
GACGAACGCUGGCGGCGUGCUUAACACAUGCAAGUCGAACGGUGAAGCGCCUUCCUUUUUGGUGGGUGUGGAUGAGUGGCGAACGGGUGAGUAACACGUGAGUAACCUGCCCCCUUCUUCUGGAUAACCGCAUGAAAGUGUGGCUAAUACGAGAUAUUCUGGGUCUGUCGCAUGAUGGGUCUGGGAAAGAUAUUGUUUCGGUGGGGGAUGGGCUCGCGGCCUAUCAGCUUGUUGGUGGGGUGAUGGCCUACCAAGGCGGUGACGGGUAGCCGGCCUGAGAGGGUGGACGGUCACACUGGGACUGAGACACGGCCCAGACUCCUACGGGAGGCAGCAGUGGGGAAUAGUGCACAAUGGGCGCAAGCCUGAUGCAGCGACGCCGCGUGAGGGAUGGAGGCCUUCGGGUUGUGAACCUCUUUCGCCAGUGAAGCAGGCCUGCCUCGUUUGUGGGUGGGUUGACGGUAGCUGGAUAAGAAGCGCCGGCUAACUACGUG